GAUGGGAAAUACUCGGUCUUUUCUUUGUGGUAGACAAAUAAAGUGCUCAUGGGGUAGCAAACCCACACCACCAGGAACAACAUCCAAUCCACUUCCACUACCUGCAGUUGGUUCCACUCCUGGCCUUUCAGCAACUGACCUUUUGGCUUAUGAGCGGCAACUAGCAAUAAGCAAGAUGGGUGGUGUCCAUGCAGCACUAAUGCACCCUCAGGGGCAUCAUCCUAUGAAACCGGCACCAAUGGGAAUGGGUGCAGCUGCAGCUAGUCAGGCUUUAUAUGAUGGUGGCUUCCAGAACAUUGCAGCACAGCAACUUAUGUACUACCAGUAGUAAAU
This 333-nucleotide unclassified non-coding RNA is filed under the name Hevea brasiliensis (rubber tree). Lineage: Eukaryota; Viridiplantae; Streptophyta; Magnoliopsida; Malpighiales; Euphorbiaceae. The record is from RNAcentral.